GCGCUGGGGGUCAAGCUGCAGUGCCAGAACACACAUUUGUGCCUAAAUGGGGCAGUCUGCUCUUUGUAAGAGGCCCUUCUAACUGCAAGCAACACCG
RNAcentral lists this small nucleolar RNA (97 nucleotides) under Pteropus vampyrus (large flying fox). The record is from RNAcentral. Lineage: Eukaryota; Metazoa; Chordata; Mammalia; Chiroptera; Pteropodidae.